RNAcentral lists this ribosomal RNA (253 nucleotides) under uncultured bacterium. Its description in RNAcentral is "partial 16S ribosomal RNA". It matches the Rfam family "Bacterial small subunit ribosomal RNA", at positions 524 to 776 of the family's 1533-position model. The record is from RNAcentral.
UACAGAGGGUGCGAGCGUUAAUCGGAAUCACUGGGCGUAAAGCGUCUGUAGGUGGUCAAAUAAGUCAACUGUUAAAUCUUGAGGCUCAACCUCAAAAUCGCAGUCGAAACUAUUAGACUAGAGUAUAGUAGGGGUAAAGGGAAUUUCCAGUGGAGCGGUGAAAUGCGUAGAUAUUGGAAAGAACACCGAUGGCGAAGGCACUUUACUGGGCUAUUACUAACACUCAGAGACGAAAGCUAGGGUAGCAAAUGGG